GAUGAACGCUGGCGGCGUGCCUAAUACAUGCAAGUCGAGCGAACAGACGAGGAGCUUGCUCCUCUGACGUUAGCGGCGGACGGGUGAGUAACACGUGGAUAACCUACCUAUAAGCCUGGGAUAACUUCGGGAAACCGGAGCUAAUACCGGAUAAUAUAUUGAACCGCAUGGUUCAAUAGUGAAAGACGGUUUUGCUGUCACUUAUAGAUGGAUCCGCGCCGCAUUAGCUAGUUGGUAAGGUAACGGCUUACCAAGGCAACGAUGCGUAGCCGACCUGAGAGGGUGAUCGGCCACACUGGAACUGAGACACGGUCCAGACUCCUACGGGAGGCAGCAGUAGGGAAUAUUCCGCAAUGGGCGAAAGCCUGACGGAGCAACGCCGCGUGAGUGAUGAAGGUCUUCGGAUCGUAAAACUCUGUUAUUAGGGAAGAACAAAUGUGUAAGUAACUAUGCACGUCUUGACGGUACCUAAUCAGAAAGCCACGGCUAACUACGUG
Molecule: ribosomal RNA, 497 nt
Filed under: uncultured bacterium
Lineage: Bacteria
Description: partial 16S ribosomal RNA
Rfam family: Bacterial small subunit ribosomal RNA
Source: RNAcentral